GCGGGAUUAGUAUAACGGUAAUACAUCGCCUUCCCAAGGCGAAGAUGCGGGUUCAAUUCCCGUAUCCCGCU
RNAcentral lists this transfer RNA (71 nucleotides) under Bacteroidota bacterium. RNAcentral's name for it is "tRNA-Gly". It matches the Rfam family "tRNA". From Rfam's summary of the family: Transfer RNA (tRNA) molecules are approximately 80 nucleotides in length. Their secondary structure includes four short double-helical elements and three loops (D, anti-codon, and T loops). RNAcentral also lists the same sequence under 2 other names. Lineage: Bacteria; Pseudomonadati; Bacteroidota. The record is from RNAcentral.